AUAAAUAAGAGAUGCUUCUUAUUUAUUCCCCUAAAGACACAGACCUUCUAUUUUCUAUACAAACACGUCAUCAAAGAAAUGUGUUCGAUUCAGAUAAAAUUUUUUGCAAAUAGGAGCCAUGAGAUGUUUAUUAUUUUUCCACAGUAGUAUUCCCCAAAGUGAGGAGGUAUACAAGAUAACUGGAAGUGGUUAAAGUCAAGAUCUUUUAAAUUAGGUUGUUUUUGUCAUCUGUGCUAGGGAAAAUUGGAACUGGCAUAUCAAACAAAGACAGAUAAGAUAAAAGUGGAUAUUUAAGUUUACAUCAGAAAUAGAACUAGUAAAGAAUAGGAUGCCACUCAGAUAUGGCAGAUAGGACUGAUAAGCAAAUAGACUGAAGUUUGAGAGCAAUGCACCAUGCUAUGCUGCCUACUAAGAUACAAAUCAACCUAUGCAAUGCAACAUGCAACACAUUUUAGAUUAGCAACUGCAAAUACAGUCUGUUUUUUCUUCAUGUGAAAAGAGGUUUGUUUUAGAGGAAGAGGAAUGGGAAUAAAACUCAAGAUCCACACAGAACUGGAAUUGAACUGCAGUAGCAAGUUUGUAUAGCUGAUCCCCACCAGCCUCCAUAACCUGCUUAUACCUUCCUGUCUUACUGUGCAGAUUUUCUCGCUAGGUACUUAGCAAUAUUCACUGGAGUGAGAAUUGGCUUUGCUAAAGUUACGGUGCUUUUGCAGGAUUUCUGAAGGUGAUAUAACGUUAUUGUUGCAGAACUUGAGAUAAGACAAAUGUUCGUCUUGCCCUAGGCGUGGAGGGAGAAUAUGAAAGAAUAAUGAACCUCAGUGAGCUGCGGGACAACCUCUCCCACCUCCAACUCCACCCACUGGGCUCUUCUCAAGUUGCUGUGUUCCUUCAGGGCCACUUGCCAGGAUUUAAAUACGUUGCUUUAGGGAAGAUUGUAUAACAAUUUGGGAUCAAGCCUCAAGUUAGUCUUGCUCUAAAGUCUGGAAAAUUUGGGGCAGCUGGUAUUUUCAGUGUCGAGAAAGCCAGUGGUCAGUGAGAGAAAACAAUGAAGCUGGUAGAAAAAGAAGCGAUAAGGGGGCAAAGAUACUAUAGAAGGUCCCCAGUUGAGGCCCAGCUUAUCUUCUGUCUGUAGGUUCUCUGAGACCCCUCCCUGGUUUCCUUAUGCCUCUUUGUGCUUAAACUAGUCACUUGGGUUUCUGACAUCAGUGACCAACAGGUUCCCAAGUGGGACCAAAAGUACUCAAGACCUAUUUUAUGUUGCAAAGGGGACUUAAUCAAAGUAGGAGGUACACUGUGCAGAAUGCACAAUUUCAAAGGUUUUUGUGAUGUGAAUUUAUUCAGAUUUGGCCUGCUUCUUUGUUUUGUUUUUUACUUUCCAAGCAUAUACACUGAGCUUAGGAAAGCUCUAGUUUAUUAUUAUUAUUAUUAUUAUUAUUAUUAUUAAAAUGGUGCUAAAUUACUUAUUAAUGAGUCCUUGAAGUAUAUCAAACACUUGACAUGCAUUAUAUCAUUUAUGGCUCCUAACUACCCUUUGAGCUGAGUGUAGCUACCCCUUUGAAGUGGAGGGUGCUUAAUUAACUUGGGCCAGGCAUAUAAGUAAGGAAGUAUAAAAUCCUGGCAUUUAACAGAAUUUGAAACCUUGAGCAAGUCAUGUGGCCACUCCAGGCCUCAGCUCCCUCCUGUGAAAAAUUAGUUGAACUGGACGUUCACAAUGAUGUAGACUUGUGGAGAGAGAGUUCAGACAUCCCAACUACGGUCGUGCCAGGAAGCAAGUAAGAAACACCUGGGGUAAGAAAAUGAGCUUCCCAAGGGAUGAAUUCUCCUUUAAAGUCCGGCCACCCCUCCCUCCCACUCUUCUCUCUAUCCAUAAUACUCCUUAAUGUGAGUCAGGUGUUAAAAAAAAAAAAAAAAAGGCAACAACAAAAGUUGUAAAUAUUCUCUGUGCCUCCUUCACUUGAAAGCCGAAGCCCUCCCAGCAAUGCAUUCAUUAGCCUGACUCUCCAGUGCGUGCUGACAGGGAAAGACAGUGGUCACAUGGGGCAAGAUCUCAGCUCUGCCACUGUAUUAGUCAGCUAUUGCUGUGUAACGAGCCACGGCAGAACUCAGUGGCUUAAAACAAUCAGGAGGCCUCCCGGAAGCCUUCACAAGAACAGGUUCUAAAAUGACUGAGCAGGAGACAGAUUACAGGGAGUGAAGAAUGAACGGUGACGAGGACUUGGGAGGUCUACAGUGAAGGGAAGGGGAGAGAGUACAGUAGCGUGACAGGGAAGCAAGACCAAAGAAAGGCUGUGGUUGGCAGGGUGAUUUUGAUUUAGUAACGAACAGGCUCUGGCACUUGCUAGACUCAAGGUAAGGUGCUAAUCUCGAGGGAGCAAUCGAAGGUACGAGAGAAGUUAUAAUCAGUGCAGUGUCCACGGGAGAUGGAAAGAAUGAGAACUGAGGGCACCACUAAAGGACUUGAACUUAGAAGCCAGAAGAGAAGGGUCUUUAUUUUGAAAUGUAAUGCGAGAAGAAAGUGCAGGUGGGGCUGAGGGUGGGAAAGGAACGCUUACAUCACCUGUUAUGAUUGAGAGAAUCAUGAAUUAAAUAGAGUUGAGAGUUUAAAGUUGUCCAGAGCCUAGAUCUUAAACUCUGUAGUGCUUUCUUCUUUUCAGUAUUCCCACUUGUUUAUUUUUGAAUCAUCUGUCCAUCCUGAAAACACCUAUCAGCAGGCAGUUAGCGUCCUAGGCAUGCUUCAUGCAGCAACUAAAUGUCAAGCAGAAAAAAAACACGAGUCCACGCGCCCUGUGUUUCAUUAGCACCGUCCGGUGAAGUCACAAAUCCUGACCGAAUUGAAAUCUAAGCCACACCGCCACCAUCAUGGGGUCUGUGCUUGCAGCUGUUUUCCUCUUGGAUUCUGAAGGGCUGAGUUGUUACUACGAGCUAAGAGGCAGUCAGCUCCUCCUCACCACAUUUCCAAAUCUACUGUUCGUCUCUUUUCUUCUUCCCCAACGUGUACCCUGUUUUCCGGUGCCUCCUAAAAUAACAGCAGAUUAGCAACCAGGCUGGUAGAAUAGUGAGGUAUCGUGAAACAGCAAACAUACAUCGCUUAAUAAUCAUAAGCAGAGUUGGUUUUAGGGAACAGUAGUCACACACCAUUGCAAGCUCACAUUUCAUUGCUUGGUGUGUGUCACUUCACCAGCUGAAGAUCUGGGGACAGGAAAUCACAAAUAAUGUGAAUUCUGGAGCACCUAACUCCGGAUCUUGGACUGAGGUACGCAUCAGCCGGUAUACAUUGGGCUGCUAUUGACUGAGACACAGCGCCCCCUAAUUGAAGCAUCCUUCUGUUCCUUCCUGGUGGACAGCAGAGGGGUUUGCUGGGGAUCGAGAGAAAAUGAUGACACGGCUGAAGGACAUCAACCCUCUCUCUUUGCCUCUGGCUCUUUUCUCCUUGGAUUUUCCUCCUGUGGGGUGGUAUUAGACAUAUUUUUCUUUAGGAGCCUCCUUACCUCCCCAAGUCAAUAAAACUGUUUCCUAGGU
Long non-coding RNA from Pipistrellus kuhlii (Kuhl's pipistrelle), 3519 nucleotides. RefSeq lists it as uncharacterized. The record is from RefSeq and is a predicted model, not a curated record. The transcript has 2 exons. Lineage: Eukaryota; Metazoa; Chordata; Mammalia; Chiroptera; Vespertilionidae.